AGAGUUUGAUCCUGGCUCAGAACGAACGCUGGCGGCAUGCCUAACACAUGCAAGUCGAACGCCCCGCAAGGGGAGUGGCGGACGGGUGAGUAACACGUGGGAACCUGCCCAAUGGUCUGGAAUAACCGCGGGAAACUGCGGCUAAUACCGGAUAAGCCCGAGAGGGGAAAGAUUUAUCGCCGAUGGAGGGGCCCGCGUCCGAUUAGGUAGUUGGUGGGGUAACGGCCUACCAAGCCUACGAUCGGUAGCUGGUCUGAGAGGAUGAUCAGCCACACUGGGACUGAGAUACGGCCCAGACUCCUACGGGAGGCAGCAGUGGGGAAUAUUGGACAAUGGGGGCAACCCUGAUCCAGCAAUGCCGCGUGAGUGAUGAAGGCCUUAGGGUUGUAAAGCUCUUUUGGCGGGGACGAUGAUGACGGUACCCGCAGAAUAAGCCCCGGCUAACUUCGUGCCAGCAGCCGCGGUAAUACGAAGGGGGCGAGCGUUGUUCGGAAUUACUGGGCGUAAAGGGCGCGUAGGCGGCGAUCCGAGUCAGAUGUGAAAGUCCUGGGCCUAACCUGGGGACUGCAUUUGAUACUGGAUUGCUUGAAUUCGGGAGAGGAUAGCGGAAUUCCCAGUGUAGAGGUGAAAUUCGUAGAUAUUGGGAAGAACACCGGUGGCGAAGGCGGCUAUCUGGACCGACAUUGACGCUGAGGCGCGAAAGCGUGGGGAGCAAACAGGAUUAGAUACCCUAGUAGUCC
RNAcentral lists this ribosomal RNA (740 nucleotides) under uncultured bacterium. RNAcentral's name for it is "bacterial SSU rRNA". It matches the Rfam family "Bacterial small subunit ribosomal RNA", at positions 8 to 796 of the family's 1533-position model. The record is from RNAcentral.